RNAcentral lists this long non-coding RNA (4915 nucleotides) under Sus scrofa (pig). RNAcentral describes it as "lncRNA (ENSSSCG00060003577.1)". Lineage: Eukaryota; Metazoa; Chordata; Mammalia; Artiodactyla; Suidae. The record is from RNAcentral.
UUUUUUUUUUUUGGGGGGGGGCAGUCGCAAGUGUUGCUUUAAGCCAUUAUCUCUCCUUUGAGUUCUUCAGCUAGUUUAAGUGUAAGAUUCUACAUUUAUUUCUACUGUAUCUGCAUAUCAAAUUUAACUUGAGUCUAUUAUUAUGGAACAAGUAAGCAUGUUAAAAUCUCCAACGCCAUUUUUUCCCCCAUGAGGAGAAUAUCAUAAAUGUUUUAAUUUUAGCAACUGGUAAAAUAUAUCUUAAAUAAGGCCAAGCUAAAGAGUGGCAUCCUUAUUACUACAGAUUUAACAUCCCUACUCCCAGUUUGAAAUAUGCUCCCCUGACCUCUUGAGGGAAUCAGCAGAAUUCUUCAGCCUCCUUAUUGAAUACUGUUAAUAAUUCAUCUCUAAAGGUACCCAGGAUAUGAAUAGUUAAGUAAUGAUGAACUAGCAUAUGAUCCAGCAAUCCCACUCCUGGUCAUAUAUCUGAAGAAAACUAUACUUCAAAUAACUGCACCCUAAUGUUCAUUGCAGUACUAUUUGCUAUGGCCAAGACAUGGAAGCAACCUAAAUGUCCAUCGAUGGAGGAAUGGAUAAAGAAGAUGUGUACAUAUAUACAAUGGAAUAUUACUCAGCCAUUAAAAAAGAAUGAAAUAAUGCCAUUUGGAGCAACAUGGAUGCAACUACAGAUUUUCAUACUAGGUGAAGUAAGUCAGAUAGAGAAAGACAAACAUCAUAUGACAUCAUUUAUGUGUGGAAUCUUAAAAAAAGUAUACAAAUGAACUUAUUUGCAGAACAGAAAUAAACUCACAUAUUUUGAAAAUAAACAUAUGGUUAACAAAGGGGACAGGUGGGAAAGAGGAGGGAUGAACUGGGUGUUUGGUAUUGGCAUAUGCACACUGUGGUAUAAGAAAUGGUUGGCUAAUGCAGACCUGCUAUAUAGCCCAGGAACUCUACCCAGUAUUCUGUGAUAAUCUAUAUGGGAAAAUAAUCUGAAAAAUAAUGGGUGUGUGUAUAUACAUAACUGAAUAACUUUAUUGUACAGCAGAAAUUACCACAACAUUGUUAAGCAGCUAUACUUCAAUACAACUUUUAAAAGUAAUGAUUGAAGAAACUUGAAAGGUGGAGUGGAUAUGGUAGAAAGUACCUAGUUGAAAUGGGAGAAAUUUCACAAGAAAGUUUUUGAUCUAUAGACUCUCAGCUUGCAUGACUCCUUGGAGAAGAAAUAAGGAAAUGUAAUAUAUAUAUAUAUAUAUGUACAAGGUAAGAGAGCCACAUAAGUAAGCAUUCACUAUUGUUUCACCAUUACAGAGAAUAUAAGAUAAAUCGAUUCAGAACAUUAAAGAAGGUAGUUCUCACCCUGGCAAUUACCUUUAAAGUGUUUUCUAGAUAGAUUUUUUCAGGCACUAUUUUUCUGGUCAUUGUUUAAUCAUCAGAGAGCUCCUAAAUUUGUCCUGUCUUUAUUAUUUUCAACUACAUGAAAGUAAAUAAUGGGGGGUGAGUGACAAAAUUACAUUUAUUUAUUAGAAAUGAAGACUGUGAAGAGUUCCCAUCAUGGCUCAGCUGUAACAAACCCAACUAGCAUCAUUAGGAUGUGGGUUCAAUCCCUGGCCUUGCUCAGUGGGUUAAGGAUUUGGUAUGGCAGUGAGCUAUGGUGUAGGUCACAGACGUGGCUUGGAUCUGGCAUUGCUGUGGCUGUGGCGUAGGUUGCCAGCUGCAGCUCCAAUUCAACACCUAGCCUGGGAAAUUCCAUAGGCCAUUGGUGUGGCCUUAAAAAGAACCCCCCCCAAGACAAAAUGAAGACAGUGAAGUAAAUACUAAAUAUCUCAUGAGAUCUUUCUUAAGAUUAAUUAACUGAAAUCCAUGAAUAAGACUAUAAUCUUCUGAAGUUAGAUCAUAGUAUUUUGUAUUGCAAUUAUUUAGAAUAUACAAAAUGAUAUGUUUGUGAUGUUUAAUAGAGAAAAAUAGUUAAUUUGAAAUAACUAGGGAAUGGAUUUAAUGUAUUCUGUACUUUUAACUAAAUUAUGGAAGUCUUAGAUACUCUUAUGAUUAAAAUAACCUGUAUGUUGGAAAAGUAAUUUUUAAAAAUUUUACAAACAUUGCAUAAUUAUCAUCAAAAGAAGGAAACUAUGGAGGUCAAACUUAAAGUGAAAACAGGAAUCCUGUGUGACAUUUUUGUUUUGUUUUGUUUUGCUGAUACUGAGGGUAAUUUGUGCUUAGGCCACAAUAGCUAUAUGAGGUAAUGACAUAAAUUAAGUUUAAUAGCUACCCAAGAUUAGAUAUCUAGCAUGAAAACUCAAACAUAAAGCUUGGGCCCCUAAAAUUUUCAUUCCAUAAAAAAAGCAAAAGCAAAAAUGGCUGUUGAAAUUAUGAAUGGAUUCUUAAUAGCAAUAAAAGAAGCCACUAAAAUGGGACUAAUAAUCUCCACUGUGACUACAGUAUUACUGUCAUUCCAUGCAAUUAUUUCUCAAGAACAAGAACAAAAUAAAAACCUUUUCAGACCAAAAACAAAUCCAGAAAAAUUAACAACCAGCAGGUCCUAAUUUUAAAAAAAAUAGAAAUUGUUAAUUUAGAGAGAAGAAAAAUAAUAUAAAGUAAAAUUUCAUAGGCAGGAGGGAAUGUGGAACAAAUAUCUCUCUAUAUAUAUCUAUAUAUAUAUCACUUUNAUAUAUAUAGAUAUAUAUAGAUAGAUAUAUAAGCUUAAAUAUGUGGAAAAAUCAAAACAAAUACUGACUGACAAAAUAAAAAGUAAGUCAGAAAGAGAAAGACAAAUACCAUAUGAUAUCACUUAUAUCUGGAAUCUAAUAUACAGCACAAAUGAACCUUUCCACAGAAAAGAAAAUCAUGGACUUGGAGAAUAGAUUUGUGGUUUCCAUGGGGGAGGGGGAGGGGAAGGGGGAGGGAGUGGGAUGGAUUGGGACAUCGGGGUUAAUGGAUGCAGACUAUUGUCUUUGGAAUGGAUUAGCAAUGAGAUACUCCUGUGUAGCACUGGAAACUAUGUCUGGUCACUUAUGAUGGAGCAUGAUAAUGUGAGAAAAAAGAAUGUAUACAUGUAUGUGUAACUGGGUCACCAUGCUGUACAGUAGAAAAUUGACAUAACACUGUAAACCAGCUAUAAUGGAAAAAAUAAAAAUAAUAAAAAAGACAUUAUUUAUAGAGAAAAUAAAACUAAUGCUGAACAAAACUGUAUAAAAUUUGGAAUGGGAGAACAAAGGUAAAGGAUUAUACAAACUUUUUAUCAUUCACCAAAAAGUCAAGAUCUUGGUUAAUUUUAAACUUCAUUCAGGUCAAAAUAUAUAGACAAACAGCUAAAAGAGUAGAAAAUCAGGGGAGUUUCCAUUGUGGCUUAGUGGUUUAGGAGACUGACUAGUACCCAUGAGGAGGUAGGUUCAAUCCCUGGCCUUGCUCAGUGAAUUAAAAUGUGCAGUAUAGGUCACAGAUGUGGCUCAGAUCCUGUGUUGCUGUGGCUGUGGUGCAGACUCGCAGCUGCAGCUCCGAUUUGACUCCUAGCCUGGUAACUUCAACAUGCUGCAGGUGCAGCCUUGGGAAAGAAAAAAAAUUAGAAAAAGAAAAUGGGGCAUAUAAGUUUGAAAAGAGAAAAAUGCAAUAAAAAGGGUACAGCUAUUGACAUUCCAAAAGAAAGGAAAACCAAAUUAAAAGCUGGGCAAAUAGAAAGCAUAUAGUAAUAUGGUAGGAAUAAAUUCGAAAAUAGCAGUAAACAAAAUAAAUGUAACCCCAUCUUUCUUAUGAGAAGAAUGGGGAAAAAGGACUUUUUUUAAAUUACUAGCAAGGAAGAGAUAGAGAAAAUGAUUUCUUUUCUAUGUAUGAACAAACACAAAUCUGUGCAUAUAUACAAAGUACACAUGUGUUAAAUACAUACAAAGAAGCAAUGCAACUAUCACCACCCAGAUCCCAGACCAAUCGCUAAGUGACAUUUGCAAGGGGCAGAUCAAAUGGCAUAGAAAAGGCUUUAAAAAAUGAACUCAUAGGACAGGUAUUAAAGAACUUGUGAUAUGAUCCUAACCAGGUUCAUUGGAAGUUAAAACAAAUAAACAUACAAAACCCAACUUCCCGGGAGAAUUUUAACAAGACCUGUAGGUUAACAACAGAAUAUAAUACAAAACUACUCAUCAUUCAAGAACCAGAAAAAUCUGACCCAUUUUCAAGGAAAAGUCAAUUAACAAAUGCCAAAUUUAAGAUGAUCCCAAUGGUAUUCCACUCUUGAAAUGAAUGAAGAGAGAAUUGUCAGCAGAGAUAGAAAUGACAUAAAAACAAGCAAAUGGAAAUUUUAGAAGUGAAAAAUAGGAUAGUGAUAAAAAACAAGACAUAACUGGAUGGGCUGAUUAUCAAAUGAAAAUAACAGAAGAGAAAUUAAUGAAUGUGAAAACAAAUCAAUAGACAUUUUUUUAAUUUGAAAAAGAGAGAAAAUAUUGUAGAAAAAUAUGUAUAGAGUCUAAGGGAAUUGUGUUAUAACAAAUACAAUCUUACAUUUCCAUCAACACACUCUCUGAAGAAGAGAAGAAAGUGAUUGGUAUAGAAAAAAAUUUUUUUUAAAUUGUUGAAAACUAACAUCCCAAAUUUAAUGAAAAAGAUGUAAACUUACAGAGAAAAAAUUCAAUGAAUCCCCAUUUGAAUAUUUGAAAUUCAAAGUAAAUCCUAUCUGGACAUAUCAUAAAGAAUUAAUGAUAAAUAAUGAUAAAGAAAAAUAGUGACAUAUUACAAAUAAGGGAAUAAUAAUUUAAAGUGCUGAGAUCAUGAAAUCAGAAAUCAUGGAUGCUAGAAGACAGUGCAAAAAUAUCUUUAAAAUGAAGAAAUAUUGUCAAUCCAAAAAUCUAUAUCCAGUGAAAAUAUUUUUAAUAAAUGAAAGCAAUGUAAAAACAUUAACAAACUUAAGAAAUACCAUUUGUUGCUCACAAAUCUGUUCUAAAAUAAUGAU